UUAAUGUGAAGACACCAGAAGAUAAGCUCCAUGCAUCCUUCAGAUUAAAAUGGAAAUGCCUUCUCAAAGUCAGCUAUUUUAAGUGUAGUAGAUCAUGAUUCUCGUGCUGAUAGCAUAAAUGAUAUGCCUGACUGUGCUAGGCUAGUCCAUUUGGACCAAUAUUUGUGGGGAUGUUUUUAAGUGUAGUAGAUCAUGAUUCUCGUGCUGAUAGCAUAAAUGAUAUGCCUGACUGUGCUAGGCUAGUCCAUUUGGACCAAUAUUUGUGGGGAUGUAUUGCCUAGCAUUUUGAGGAUUUUCCACGGCUGACAGG
RNAcentral lists this long non-coding RNA (310 nucleotides) under Olea europaea (common olive). Its description in RNAcentral is "long non-coding RNA (OEUR_LNC003833)". Lineage: Eukaryota; Viridiplantae; Streptophyta; Magnoliopsida; Lamiales; Oleaceae. The record is from RNAcentral.